This 497-nucleotide ribosomal RNA is filed under the name uncultured bacterium. Its description in RNAcentral is "partial 16S ribosomal RNA". It matches the Rfam family "Bacterial small subunit ribosomal RNA", at positions 28 to 507 of the family's 1533-position model. The record is from RNAcentral.
GACGAACGCUGGCGGCGUGCCUAAUACAUGCAAGUUGAGCGAUGAAGAUUGGUGCUUGCACCAAUUUGAAGAGCAGCGCACGGGUGAGUAACGCGUGGGGAAUCUGCCUUUGAGCGGGGGACAACAUUUGGAAACGAAUGCUAAUACCGCAUAACAACUUUAAACAUAAGUUUUAAGUUUGAAAGAUGCAAUUGCAUCACUCAAAGAUGAUCCCGCGUUGUAUUAGCUAGUUGGUGAGGUAAAGGCUCACCAAGGCGAUGAUACAUAGCCGACCUGAGAGGGUGAUCGGCCACAUUGGGACUGAGACACGGCCCAAACUCCUACGGGAGGCAGCAGUAGGGAAUCUUCGGCAAUGGACGAAAGUCUGAGCGAGCAACGCCGCGGGAGUGAAGAAGGUUGUCGGAUCGUAAAACUCUGUUGGUAGAGAAGAACGUUGGUGAGAGUGGAAAGCUCAUCAAGUGACGGUAACUACCCAGAAAGGGACGGCUAACUACGUG